This is a long non-coding RNA of Dermacentor silvarum, 286 nucleotides long. RefSeq lists it as uncharacterized. The transcript is spliced from 3 exons. The record is from RefSeq and is a predicted model, not a curated record. Lineage: Eukaryota; Metazoa; Arthropoda; Arachnida; Ixodida; Ixodidae.
GUGACUCUUGUAAGUUCGUCUGUAAUAAACCACUCAAACGCCUGUGCAUAGAGGAUUCCAAGGGGCAGUGCUCUUGCCAAUGUGUAAACAAGACAUUUCCAUGUCCGCCUCCGAAUAACGCCACUUGUCCCAGUGGUGCUCCGGACACUUGCUACGCGGACAACGAUAUUUGCUUCUGCAAAUGCUGGUAGGUGCACCAAGACGACCGCUUGGAUUUGCGCUUUGUUUCUGUGCUUCGAACUGUGCAGGUAUACACCACAUCCUUACUGGAGAAAAAUGAAUGGAG